AAUGAAUACAGUAUUUUUCAUUAAUAUAAUACAAAAACACAUAGCAUAAUCCAAAAUAACACUUAAUUACAAAGAGGAACUGAAACUUCUUGCACAUUUUGUUGUCCCCAAAAUAAAGAACAUCAAUUCCCACAAACCAACACCAAGUUCAUGACAACAACAAAAGUAACUCCAAAUUUGUAAUAUUAAACAUAUGACAAUACAUCCCCAAGAUUAACGUUGCUUUUUCUUUUUUCCUUUAACUCCUUUUUUUUUUUUUUUCAAG
This 265-nucleotide unclassified non-coding RNA is filed under the name Hevea brasiliensis (rubber tree). Lineage: Eukaryota; Viridiplantae; Streptophyta; Magnoliopsida; Malpighiales; Euphorbiaceae. The record is from RNAcentral.